Molecule: long non-coding RNA, 952 nt
Filed under: Vigna radiata
Lineage: Eukaryota; Viridiplantae; Streptophyta; Magnoliopsida; Fabales; Fabaceae
Description: long non-coding RNA (VRAD_LNC017903)
Source: RNAcentral
CUAAACCCCCAAAACCCCCUAAAAACCCUAACCCCUAAUAAAAGCAUAAACUCAAGAAAUAAAGUUUACAACUUCGUAAAUAUGAAAUAAUUUAAGUAAAAUACACAUGUGACAGACUAAAAUAAAGUUUACAACUUCGUAAAUAAUCACAAUCCAAGGAGGAAGAAAUAAAUGAUUAUAAGCACCUUAAAAUUGAUGAAGACAAAUUGUUUGAUGCAUCAGCAAUUUGCAUAGAAUGAGAAUUUGUGGACCUUCCUACUUUUCUGGCUUUUUUUAGUGUAUUUACAAUGACAGAUGUUAUGGAAAACGAAUGAAUAAUUCAAUCACGAAUGCAUAACAUAAACAACACAAGUUAAAUGUAAGAAAAAAGGAAUGCAUCACACAAGCUCUCUCAUAUCUUGCGAAUUCUGGAUAGAAGAAACUUGGGCUGUCUUCUCCCACUUUUGUUUCUGAUAGUUAGGAGCCUGACAAUUGAUAUAUACACAUACAAAGUUCAACCAAAAUAAAUAUGUAGCCAAUACAACGUGGAAUAAGCUUCAGUUCAGUCAACAAUAUGCUUCAAAAGUAGGUUAUCAAGACUCACCGAGAUGAACACUCAAAUUGAUUAUAUGGAUCACUAAGAGUGCUACUUGAAGGAGAGGUGGUUCGAUCAGGUCAACCAUUACUAUCUUAGUGAACAGGUAUCACAACAAACAAGAUUAUAAGAAAGUCCAAUAGAAAGAACAAAAAUGCCCAUUUGGAUGGGGGAAUUUGUUACUUAGAAGGAUAACUGUAAGAAUAAAAUGGGUAGCAAAUCGAGAGCACUGAUGUGUACAAAUAUCCUUUACAAAAAAAAGGCAUGAAUAAAAUAUUUUAUCUCUCUCAUCUAUUCUCUUCUCUAUUUGUUCUAUUGUGUUUUUUUGACCACCCCUUCUACUUUAUUACUGUUGCAGGUGAUUAAUCAUAGUCAUCC